This 736-nucleotide small RNA is filed under the name Arabidopsis thaliana (thale cress). Its description in RNAcentral is "ATSL167260". The record is from RNAcentral. Lineage: Eukaryota; Viridiplantae; Streptophyta; Magnoliopsida; Brassicales; Brassicaceae.
AAAAGCUUAGCGAGAGAUCAAGUUGUUAAAUGAUAACACUGUAUUUUACUCAUUUUAGGUAUAUGUUUAUCAUCAUUUAGCUUUGCCUUUGCUCAUUGUAUCAUGUCAUUUUGCACCAUUUUAGCUUAUUUUGCAUACUUAGGCAUAUAGGAUCAUCUUGCAUUCGCAUUGCAUGUUUUGGUGUGUUUUCAGGUGCAGAAGGAGCUAAAAAGGGCUCUACUCGAUCCAUUCACUCGAUCCAGGCAGCUACAGAAGAGGCAUCAAUUCACUCGACCUCUUUACUCGAUCCAGGAUGCUACAGAGGAGGCUGCAGUUUACUCAACCCUCUUACUCGAUCAAGGCAAUCUCAGAUGAAGCAGAAGAUUGAUCUACUCGCCCCUCCUACUCGAUCCUCUACUCGACCCAUUUACUCGACCAAGGGUGACCAACUCUACAAGACUUGUUGGGCUAUCAAAGCGUCUUCGGAUCCUCUUCAUUCCCCACUCAACCAGACAUCUGAGCAUAAAGAUAGAAGAGGAAGAAGCAUCUACUCGACCAAUUGAUCACUCGGAGCAUAGACACAAAGGCACAAACUUUGCAUCACCCUCUUUACUCGAUCCCCAAGAUCGAGUAUUCGCCCAAACCGCCUCAAGUCUCUUGUCUUCUAGUGAAUCUUGGGUUUCAACAUUUUACUAUAAAUAGAUCACUUUGGGGUUUGUCCAAAGGAUCUAUGCUUUAUCUUUCAGUUUUUCUUUUU